UGGGGAAUUUUGGACAAUGGGGGAAACCCUGAUCCAGCCAUCCCGCGUGUGCGAUGAAGGCCUUCGGGUUGUAAAGCACUUUUGGCAGGAAAGAAACGUCGCGGGUUAAUACCCCGCGAAACUGACGGUACCUGCAGAAUAAGCACCGGCUAACUACGUGCCAGCAGCCGCGGUAAUACGUAGGGUGCAAGCGUUAAUCGGAAUUACUGGGCGUAAAGCGUGCGCAGGCGGUUCGGAAAGAAAGAUGUGAAAUCCCAGAGCUUAACUUUGGAACUGCAUUUUUAACUACCGGGCUAGAGUGUGUCAGAGGGAGGUGGAAUUCCGCGUGUAGCAGUGAAAUGCGUAGAUAUGCGGAGGAACACCGAUGGCGAAGGCAGCCUCCUGGGAUAACACUGACGCUCAUGCACGAAAGCGUGGGGAGCAAACAGGAUUAGAUACCCUGGUAGUCCACGCCCUAAACGAUGUCAACUAGCUGUUGGGGCCUUCGGGCCUUGGUAGCGCAGCUAACGCGUGAAGUUGACCGCCUGGGGGGUACGGUCGCAAGAUUAAAACUUAAAUGAAUUGACGGGGUCAUAGCU
RNAcentral lists this ribosomal RNA (578 nucleotides) under uncultured bacterium. RNAcentral describes it as "partial 16S ribosomal RNA". It matches the Rfam family "Bacterial small subunit ribosomal RNA", at positions 355 to 926 of the family's 1533-position model. The record is from RNAcentral.